RNAcentral lists this transfer RNA (72 nucleotides) under Dipodomys ordii (Ord's kangaroo rat). It matches the Rfam family "tRNA". Rfam says of the family: Transfer RNA (tRNA) molecules are approximately 80 nucleotides in length. Their secondary structure includes four short double-helical elements and three loops (D, anti-codon, and T loops). Further hydrogen bonds mediate the characteristic L-shaped molecular structure. tRNAs have two regions of fundamental functional importance: the anti-codon, which is responsible for specific mRNA codon recognition, and the 3' end, to which the tRNAs corresponding amino acid is attached (by aminoacyl-tRNA synthetases). tRNAs cope with the degeneracy of the genetic code in two manners: having more than one tRNA (with a specific anti-codon) for a particular amino acid; and 'wobble' base-pairing, i.e. permitting non-standard base-pairing at the 3rd anti-codon position. The record is from Rfam by way of RNAcentral. Lineage: Eukaryota; Metazoa; Chordata; Mammalia; Rodentia; Heteromyidae.
GGGAAUGUAGCUUAGUGGUAGAGCACUUGCCUAGCAUGCAUGAAGCCCUGGGUUCAGUUCCUCACUAUCACA